UCAAGCUACUAAGGGCGUGUGUGUGGAUGCCUUGGCGCAAGUAGGCGAUGAAGGACGUGGUCAGCUGCGAUAAGCCUCGGGAAGCCGCUAACAGGCUGUGAUCCGGGGAUUUCCGAAUGGGGAAACCCAGUGGGUGUGAACACCCGCUACGUUUCACUGAAUACAUAGGUGGAUCGGGCGAACUCGGGGAAGUGAACCAUCUCAGUACCCGAAGGAAGAGAAAACAACCGUGAUUCCGAUAGUAGUGGCGAGCGAACUCGGAAAAGCCUAAACCAGGCGAUUCGAAAGGAGAGCUUGGGGUUGCAGGACCACAAUAAUCUGCAGGCUGCUUCGGCAACGAAGCCGCCGGCAGGUUAAAAGAGGGAUAGGAAAGUGUUAAUCGAACGGUCUGGAAAGGCCGGCCAUAGAGCGUGACAGCCGCGUAGGUGAAAAUGCAAUCCUCCUUCCAGUGGCUCCUAAGUACCGCGGGACACGUGGAACCCUGCGGGAAUCUACCGGGACCAUCCGGUAAGGCUAAAUACUCACUUGCGACCGAUAGUGAACUAGUACCGUGAGGGAAAGGUGAAAAGAACCCCUGCGAGGGGAGUGAAAUAGUACCUGAAACCACACGCCUACAAGCAGUGGGAGGGCUAUGCCGGGCAACCGGAAUGCCUGACCUCGUGCCUAUUGCAUAAUGAGCUGGCUAGUUAUUCUCAGUGGCAAGGUUAAGCGUAAGCGAGCCGUAGCGAAAGCGAGUCUGAAUAGGGCGAUGCAGUCGCUGGGAAUAGACGCGAAGCGGGAUGAUCUACCCUUGGCCAGGAUGAAGUCCGUGUAACAGCGGAUGGAGGUCCGAACCAGUGUUGGUUGAAAACAGCUUGGAUGAGCUGAGGGUAGGGGUGAAAGGCUAAUCAAAUUCCGUGAUAGCUCGUUCUCUCCGAAAUAGCUUUAGGGCUAGCCUCUCGUGGUCCGUCGCGGUGGUAGAGAACUGAUUGGACUAGGGGCCUUCCCAGGUUACCGAAUCCAACCAAACUGCGAAUGCCGUGAAUGUGUAGCGAGGGAGUCAGACAGUGGGGGCUAAGCUUCAUUGUCGAAAGGGAAACAGCCCAGACCGUCAACUAAGGUCCCCAAAUCCAUGCUCAGUGGGAAAGGAAGUCGGGACGCUCAGACAGCCAGGAGGUUGGCUUAGAAGCAGCCAUCCUUUAAAGAAAGCGUAAUAGCUCACUGGUCGAGCGGCCCGGUGCCGACAAUAUAACGGGGCUUAAGCAUGGUACCGAAGUUACGGAUUCGUCUAGCUUGCUAGGCGAAUGGUAGGAGAGCGUUCUCAACAGCUGUGAAGGUCGAGCGAAAGCACGGCUGGAGCGUUGGGAAGUGACUCUGCCAGCAUAAGUAGCGAGAAACCAGGUGCGAACCCUGGUCGCCGUAAGUCUAAGGAUUCCUGAGAAAGGUUAAUCCGCUCAGGGUUAGUCGGAGCCUAACGCGAGGCCGAAAGGCGUAGCGGAUGGACAGCAGGUUAAUAUUCCUGCACUACCUUGUUUCGAUCAAGACCGAUGGGGGGACGCAGACUCAAGCUCGGCCGGGGUAAUGGUUUCUCCGGUUGGGGGAGAGGAGAUCCGGAUAGGCAAAUCCGCCGGGUCGUCUGCCAGGAAAAGCCCCUAAGGAGAAGUAAGGUAUCCGUACCACAAACCGACACAGGUGGACGUGAAGAAUAUUCUAAGGCGCUCGGGUGAUGGUAGGUUCAGGAACUAGGCACAUUAGCUCCGUAACUUCGGGAGAAGGAGUGCUCUUGGCAACAAGAGCCGCAGUGAAUCGUCUCAGGCGACUGUUUAACAAAAACACAGGUCUCUGCAAAGUCGAAAACGACGUAUAGGGGCUGACGCCUGCCCGGUGCCGGAAGGUUAAAGGGAGAGGUUAGCCGCAAGGCGAAGCUUUGAACUGAAGCCCCGGUGAACGGCGGCCGUAACUAUAACGGUCCUAAGGUAGCGAAAUUCCUUGUCGGGUAAGUUCCGACCUGCACGAAUGGCGUAACGAUCUGAGAACUGUCUUAACCUGCCGCCCGGCGAACUUGUGGUCCCGGUGAAGACGCCGGGUGCCCGCCACUAGACGGAAAGACCCCGUGCACCUUUACUAUACCCUUUCAUGGAACUAUGGGGCCAUCUGCGCAGGAUAGGUGGGAGGCUUUGAAGCCGGAUUCUCGGAUUCGGCUGAGCCAACGGUGAGAUACCACCCUGAUGGUUCUGUGGUUCUAACCUACUCGACUGAAUCGUCGAGAGGGACAGUGGAAGGCGGGUAGUUUGACUGGGG
RNAcentral lists this ribosomal RNA (2280 nucleotides) under Bryobacterales bacterium. Its description in RNAcentral is "bacterial LSU rRNA". It matches the Rfam family "Bacterial large subunit ribosomal RNA", at positions 3 to 2279 of the family's 2925-position model. The record is from RNAcentral. Lineage: Bacteria; Pseudomonadati; Acidobacteriota; Terriglobia; Bryobacterales.